Long non-coding RNA from Myiozetetes cayanensis, 1764 nucleotides. RefSeq lists it as uncharacterized. The record is from RefSeq and is a predicted model, not a curated record. NCBI's taxonomy places the organism in Eukaryota, Metazoa, Chordata, Aves, Passeriformes, Tyrannidae. The transcript has 6 exons.
UGCACUUUGAUGGCCUCUUGUCCAUCAAGCCAACAGCUCCCUGUCAGCUGGGCCCUUUUUCUUCUCCACUUUGGGAGAAGAGGGGAAAUAGAGAUCAGUAAGGAGAUAGAAGGCACUUCCAUCUUUUUGAAGUUUAAAUUCAACCCUUCUUAAAUUCAAUCUGCUGGAGUCCGUGAGGAGGGAGGAGGGUGCAAGGAGCAGCACAGGAUCAGAGCCCAUGGAGGCUGCAGCAGAGGAGGGUGUGCAGGAGCCAAAGGGCAGCUGAGGCCAUUCCCCAGGGAAUGCCAGAUCCUGACGUCUGUGCCCACUUAGGGAAAAGUGCCAACAUUGCACAAGUGUGCCAUGCCAAAGCAUAGUCCUCUCCAAAAAGCAGAAAGUAGGGAAAAGAUGAAGGGAGCAAUGGGCAGAAAAGCUGGUGAUUUGGCAGGUGUGUUUUGAAAUGCCUUUUGUCCAGGCUGGGAAUUUGCUAGGUGUCCAGCAGCGAUUGGUCUGGUUUUUGCCCCCAAACUGUCCAUUCCCUCCCCAAAAGAUGUCCCUUUUGGCCUGCAGAGGUGCAGUCCCAAGGGUAACCACAAGACGGCGACACUGAGCAAAAAGAGACCAGGUCUACCCGUCAAAAAAGGGAGACCAGGUCUACCCGUCAAAAAAAGGAGACCAGGUCUACCCGUCAAAAAAAGGAGACCAGGUCUACCCGUCAAAAAAAGGAGACCAGGUCUACCCAUUGAAAAAAGGAGACCAGGUCUACCCAUAGAAAAAGGAGACCAGGUCUACCCAUUGAAAAAAGGAGACCAGGUCUACCCAUAGAAAAAGGAGACCAGGUCUACCCAUAGAAAAAGGAGACCAGGUCUACCCAUAGAAAAAGGAGACCAGGUCUACCCACCUAGAAAAGGAGAACAGGUCUACCCAUAGGAAAAAGGGAACAGGUCUACCCAUAGAAAAAGGAGACCAGGUCUACCCUUAGAAAAAGGAGACCAGGUCUACCCACCUAGAAAAGGAGAACAGGUCUACCCCUCAAAAAACAGAGCAAUACAUUCAGUCACUUUGCAGUGGGAGUAAAGAACAGCCUCUUAACUGUUGCUCCAUAGGUCUGUUAAGUCACUAGACAACAAAAGAUGGCUCUCAAAAUAUUGCUCUACUAUGCAGUGAAGGGAGGUUUUUCCAGUCCAACUGCUUUAGCCCAGGCUGCACUUUGAUGGCCUCUUGUCCAUCAAGCCAACAGCUCCCUGUCAGCUGGGCCCUUUUUCUUCUCCACUUUGGGAGAAGAGGGGAAAUAGAGAUCAGUAAGGAGAUAGAAGGCACUUCCAUCUUUUUGAAGUUUAAAUUCAACCCUUCUUAAAUUCAAUCUGCUGGAGUCCGUGAGGAGGGAGGAGGGUGCAAGGAGCAGCACAGGAUGAGAGCCCAUGGAGGCUGCAGCAGAGGAGGGUGUGCAGGAGCCAAAGGGCAGCUGAGGCCAUUCCCCAGGGAAUGCCAGAUCCUGACGUCUGUGCCCACUUAGGGAAAAGUGCCAACAUUGCACAAGUGUGCCAUGCCAAAGCAUAGUCCUCUCCAAAAAGCAGAAAGUAGGGAAAAGAUGAAGGGAGCAAUGGGCAGAAAAGCUGGUGAUUUGGCAGGUGUGUUUUGAAAUGCCUUUUGUCCAGGCUGGGAAUUUGCUAGGUGUCCAGCAGCGAUUGGUCUGGUUUUUGCCCCCAAACUGUCCAUUCCCUCCCCAAAAGAUGUCCCUUUUGGCCUGCAGAGGUGCAGUCCCAAGGGUAACCACAAGACGGC